RNAcentral lists this unclassified non-coding RNA (1190 nucleotides) under Limulus polyphemus (Atlantic horseshoe crab). Its description in RNAcentral is "interferon regulatory factor 1-like, transcript variant X4". The record is from RNAcentral. Lineage: Eukaryota; Metazoa; Arthropoda; Merostomata; Xiphosura; Limulidae.
ACGUAAUGACUCCUCGGUUCUGUCAAUUAUUAUUAUACCAGUGUUUAUAAGGAAGUUCGGUUUUAUUUGAAAACACUAACUUGGAUACAUUUAUUAAAGGCUGAAGUUGUAUUUCUGUACUAUAGCUGCACCUACUUCAAUUUUGCAAAAUGCCAAGAGUUGAACCUCUGUUUCUGAGGGAUUUUUUGUAUCCAUCUCUACGACGUAACCGGUUCCCAGGGUUACUGCAAUGGACAAACGAAGCAGAAAAAGAAUACGAAGUGAAAUGGAGUCAUAAAAGCAGUGGAGGAUGGCAGGUUUCGGAGUUUGAACAUUUUGCGGAAUGGGACAGGUUGAAAGGUAACUAUAGUCCAGAAAGUGCAGAAUACUGGACUUUGUCCAAACAAAGAUUUCGGAAUACGCAUCGAAAACUAGAAAUCCAUGGAAAAGUCAAAAGGCUUCCAGGUAGAAGAGGAUAUAGAAAGUACAAGAUCUGCAGCAGUUCAGAAGUCAUUGAUAAAAGGAAGGAGAACAUCUUCGAGAAGCCUCAAGAAACUAAGAUGAAAAGCAGACGGCCGGUUAUCUUAAAGGUUGGCAAAGCCAUGCAAGCAUACCAGACUGGCAUAAAUGAAACCGAGGGUUUGGGUAAUACUGUUUUCGAAAAUGCACAUGUUACCUCACUUUUUGAUUUAGAAACUGACAACGAACAAUACUUAGAGAUACAGGAUUGUUUUUCGAAGAAAAAGCUGGAAUCAGACAACCACGAAGCGUUUCUAUCCAACGCCGUUCCAGAUACCAUGACUCUGUGUAUCGACAUUAAUGACCCACUCUUGAGUAUGUUUCCAAGCGUUUUUAUGACGAUGAAAGAAACAGUGAGCUCUGAUGAUAAGGAGAAUCAUUUUGCAAUAGACGAAGGCAUCGGUGACAUGCCAAAAACCAAGAAAGAGGAUGUGUUUUAAGAGAAAUAUUCAAAUCCAUUGAAUAAUAUGUUAAAUUCACACAAGCUCAACCGUCAUCUCAAACUGAAAGAUUUUCUCAGUCACUUCACAGGAGGAUGGAAGAGGAUACUGAUACACCCACAUCUACAGUGAAAUUGACUGCCAUGGAUUAUAAGUAUCAGUGGAUCAACUCUUCAUUGUUUGUAUAAUGCAUCAGGAGACGAGUCAGUUAUUACUCUUUUUACGAGUUAAAUCUUAUAUCAUGGCUCAAUA